This 426-nucleotide ribosomal RNA is filed under the name uncultured prokaryote. RNAcentral's name for it is "bacterial SSU rRNA". It matches the Rfam family "Bacterial small subunit ribosomal RNA", at positions 355 to 796 of the family's 1533-position model. The record is from RNAcentral.
UGGGGAAUAUUGCGCAAUGGGGGCAACCCUGACGCAGCCACGCCGCGUGGGUGAUGAAGGCCUUCGGGUUGUAAAGCCCUGUCGUGGGGGAAGAAGUUCUGACGGUACCCCACAAGAAAGCACCGGCCAACUCCGUGCCAGCAGCCGCGGUAAUACGGAGGGUGCAAGCGUUGCUCGGAAUCACUGGGCGUAAAGCGCACGCAGGCGGAUCGUUAAGUCGGGUGUGAAAGCCCGGGGCUCAACCCCGGAACUGCACUCGAAACUGGUGGUCUUGAGUACGGGAGAGGGAAGCGGAAUUCCUGGUGUAGAGGUGAAAUUCGUAGAUAUCAGGAGGAACACCAGCGGCGAAGGCGGCUUCCUGGCCCGAUACUGACGCUCAUGUGCGAAAGCGUGGGGAGCAAACAGGAUUAGAUACCCGCGUAGUCC